RNAcentral lists this ribosomal RNA (141 nucleotides) under Legionella pneumophila. Its description in RNAcentral is "partial 16S ribosomal RNA". It matches the Rfam family "Bacterial small subunit ribosomal RNA", at positions 1221 to 1362 of the family's 1533-position model. The record is from RNAcentral. Lineage: Bacteria; Pseudomonadati; Pseudomonadota; Gammaproteobacteria; Legionellales; Legionellaceae.
CGUGCUACNAUGGCCGAUACAGAGGCCGGCGAAGGGGCGGACUGAGCAAAUCCUUAAAAGUCGGUAGUAGUCCGGAUUGGAGUCUGCAACUCGACUCCAUGAAGUCGGAAUCGCUAGUAAUCGCGAAUCAGCAUGUCGCGG